UCGUUUUAUCGAUUAAUAAACGAUUGUACACAGACGAUUGCAGGUGACCGAAUCGACAACCCUAACCGUGCACCAGUAACCAUAGGCGUGUUUACAGCGGAGGACGUUAGAAAACUACGCGGCCCGGUGAGACAUCGGCCAAAGUAUUCAACAGGGCACGGUUGUUUAACGCGGGACGAUAAUUCGUUAAUAAUCAAUUUUUUCGAAUUUAUACAGACGCAAAAGCGCUGGUCUCAGUCCGCGGGGAUUGCCGAAAGAAUAUCAGUGACCG
Non-coding RNA from Cinara cedri, 271 nucleotides. Lineage: Eukaryota; Metazoa; Arthropoda; Insecta; Hemiptera; Aphididae. The record is from the annotation of a GenBank genome assembly.